This 496-nucleotide ribosomal RNA is filed under the name uncultured bacterium. Its description in RNAcentral is "partial 16S ribosomal RNA". It matches the Rfam family "Bacterial small subunit ribosomal RNA", at positions 28 to 506 of the family's 1533-position model. The record is from RNAcentral.
GAUGAACGCUGGCGGCGUGCCUAAUACAUGCAAGUCGAGCGAACAGACCAGGCUCUUGCUCCUCUGACGUUUGCGGCGGGCGGGUGAGUAACACGUGUAUACCCUACCUAUCAGACUGGUAUAUCUUCGGGAAACCGGCUCUAAUACCGUAUAACAUCUUGCACCGCAUUGUGCAACAGUGAAAUACGGUCGUGCUGUCACGUAUAGCUGGUUCCGCGCCGCAUUAUCUAGUUGGUAAUGUAACGGCUUACCAAGGCAACGAUGCGUAGCCGAGCUGCGGGGGUGAUCGGCCACACAGGAAGUGAGACACGGUACAGACUCCGACGGGAGGCAGCAGUAGGGACGCGUCCGAAAAGGGCGAAAGCCUGACGGAGCAACGCAGCGCGAGUGAAGAAGGUCUGCGGAUGGUAAAACGCUGUUAUGAGGGAAGAACAAAUGUGUAAGUAACUAUGCACGUGUGGACGGUACCGAAAAAGAAAGACACGGUAAAUUACGU